This is a long non-coding RNA of Bos taurus (domestic cattle), 820 nucleotides long. The record is from Ensembl. NCBI's taxonomy places the organism in Eukaryota, Metazoa, Chordata, Mammalia, Artiodactyla, Bovidae.
CCCAUGGACUGAAGCCCACCAGGCUCCUCUGUCCAUGCAAGAAUACAGGAGUGGGCUGCCAUUUCCUCCUCCAGGGGAUCUUCCCGACCCAGGGAUCGAACCCGUGUGUCUCAUAUCUCCUGCACUGGCAGGGUGGACCCAUGGGGCCUGCAGUCACUCUGGCCGACCCUUCGACCCUCAAGAACCUCCAUCAGCGCCAGGGAGCCUGGGCUCGGAACCGCCUCUGCCCCAGCAGCGCCCUCUUUGUGCCCUUCCCUCCCCUUCCUGCGCCCCAAUUUCCAGAGGGUCUAAACACACUGACCCCCAAAGAGAAGCCCUGCAGAGCAGAGACCUCACCCUGAGAAGCCUGCACCCCCUGGACAUCUUGACUCCAUCCUUCAGCAUCCUCUCCCUCACUGUAUCCUGACUGCUUGGACCACCCUCCUCUCCAGCCCCCACUGAACAACAGAUUGGGAAGGGGAAUUUCACAAGGUUUGAGCCCGCAGAGCUGUUAGGGAGCUCUUGAUCUUGGCAGAGACGCUGCCGAGCCACCUGCCCCACCUGGCAGCCCAACCACUUCUCCAGAAAGAACCCUUUGCUCGGUCCACCCACCAGGAAAUCUGCAGAUUAACACCAUCCUCCUUGCAAGAGUUCACCUUCCCAGUGGAUCCCCCUAGUGUGAGUGCCUGGUGGGAGAGGUGGGUAGCCUUCAAAGCGACCCACGGAGCUCAAGGGCAAUGGGGACUGGGGCCUCAGGUGGGUUUCUAGUGAAGGUGAUGAAGGGGAAGCUCAGGGACCCUCAGCUGCACAGGCCUUUCCAAGACCCUCAGAGGAGUCUGCC